GUCUUAACCGGUCUUGAUUAUUUAAUCAACCUCGCAUCACUCGUGAUAAACUCUCAACCAGAAUCCCGUCUACUCAAGCAUAGCAAUAUGAAAUUUGUCGUCCCGGGACAAGUAACGGGGUUGUUGGUGCCUACCACAUGAUACUACAAUAUGUAGCCAUAAUUUUCAAAUACCUACUCAGCAUGCAAUUGGGCAUAGGAUGGUAGAACUACGAUGCAUAAAACAUAGGUGAUACAUGAUCAAAUGACUUGC
RNAcentral lists this long non-coding RNA (252 nucleotides) under Hordeum vulgare. RNAcentral describes it as "long non-coding RNA (HVUL_LNC010571)". Lineage: Eukaryota; Viridiplantae; Streptophyta; Magnoliopsida; Poales; Poaceae. The record is from RNAcentral.